Molecule: ribosomal RNA, 301 nt
Filed under: uncultured bacterium
Lineage: Bacteria
Description: partial 16S ribosomal RNA
Rfam family: Bacterial small subunit ribosomal RNA
Source: RNAcentral
CAGUAGCCGCGGGAAUACGUAGGGUGCAAGCGUUAAUCGGAAUUACUGGGCGUAAAGAGCUCGUAGGCGGUUUGUCGCGUCUGCCGUGAAAGUCCAGGGCUCAACCCCGGAUCUGCGGUGGGUACGGGCAGACUAGAGUGAUGUAGGGGAGACUGGAAUUCCUGGUGUAGCGGUGAAAUGCGCAGAUAUCAGGAGGAACACCGAUGGCGAAGGCAGGUCUCUGGGCAUUAACUGACGCUGAGGAGCGAAAGCAUGGGGAGCGAACAGGAUUAGAGACCCCCGUAGUCCCUGUCUCUUAUAC